CGGACGUAGAGAAUGUAGUAACGGAAGAUGUAGGAGGAAAUCAUCCAGAUGAGGUUGUAUUCCAAGAAGCAGAGCAUCAACAUGUGUCCAACAUAGCACGCA
Molecule: non-coding RNA, 102 nt
Organism: Caenorhabditis elegans
Lineage: Eukaryota; Metazoa; Nematoda; Chromadorea; Rhabditida; Rhabditidae
Source: Ensembl